Molecule: ribosomal RNA, 459 nt
Filed under: uncultured bacterium
Lineage: Bacteria
Description: partial 16S ribosomal RNA
Rfam family: Bacterial small subunit ribosomal RNA
Source: RNAcentral
CCUACGGGUGGCAGCAGUGAGGAAUAUUGGUCAAUGGCCGGAAGGCUGAACCAGCCAAGCCGCGUGAGGGAGGAAGGCGCAGAGCGUCGCAGACCUCUUUUGCCGGGGGACAAAAGGCCGGACUCGUCCGGUCCUGAGGGUACCCGGAGAAAAAGCAUCGGCUAACUCCGUGCCAGCAGCCGCGGUGAUACGGAGGAUGCGCUGGUUAUCCGGAUUCAUGGGGGUAAAAGGGUGCGCGGCCGGGCCUUUCAGCCGGCGGUGAAAUCGCGGGGCUCAACCCCGCCGCGCCGUCGAAACUGGGGGCCUUGAGUACAGUUGAGGUAGGCGGAAUUCGUGGUGUAGCGGUGAAAUGCUUAGAUAUCACGAAGAACUCCGAUGGCGAAGGCAGCUUACUAAACUGCCACUGACAUUGAUGCUCGAAAGUGUGGGUAUCAAACAGGAUUAGAUACCCUUGUAGUC